ACAUGUUUCUUCCUUGUGUAACAAACCACCAAAAUUAGGGUUUCCAUAAUCGUGUCACGUUUUUGCCAUCGUGACACGUUUUCACCAAUGCCGAAUGCAUAUUUCUUGAAAGCUCCAAAUCGUGUCACGUUUUUCAGUAAUCGUGACACGGUCCCCUUUUUUCAGUUUCUUCAGUUUUUUUUGCUUUUCUUGCUGCUUAAUCUUGAUUGUGAACUCAAAAAUAUCAUAAAAAAGACUCUAAAAAUAGUGAAUAACUGACUGUCAUCAGAACCCCAAACUUGAACCAUUCCUUGUCCUCAACGAAUUUAC
Molecule: long non-coding RNA, 309 nt
Filed under: Medicago truncatula (barrel medic)
Lineage: Eukaryota; Viridiplantae; Streptophyta; Magnoliopsida; Fabales; Fabaceae
Description: long non-coding RNA (MTRU_LNC002013)
Source: RNAcentral